CAGCACCUCAAGUGGUCAGGAUGAUUAUUGGGCCUAACGCAUCCGUAGCCGGCGCUGUAAGUUUUCGGUUAAAUCUGUACGCUCAACGUACAGGCUGCCGGGAAUACUGCAGAGCUAGGGAGUGGGAGAGGUAGACGGUACUCGGUAGGAAGGGGUAAAAUCCUUUGAUCUAUUGAUGACCACCUGUGGCGAAGGCGGUCUACCAGAACACGUCCGACGGUGAGGGAUGAAAGCUGGGGGAGCAAACCGGAUUAGAUACCCGAGUAGUCC
RNAcentral lists this ribosomal RNA (270 nucleotides) under uncultured archaeon. RNAcentral's name for it is "partial 16S ribosomal RNA". It matches the Rfam family "Archaeal small subunit ribosomal RNA", at positions 477 to 747 of the family's 1478-position model. The record is from RNAcentral.